This 63-nucleotide transfer RNA is filed under the name Nobia grandis. RNAcentral describes it as "tRNA-Asp". Lineage: Eukaryota; Metazoa; Arthropoda; Thecostraca; Balanomorpha; Pyrgomatidae. The record is from RNAcentral.
GAAAAUUUAGUUAAUUUAUAACAUUAGCUUGUCAUGCUGAAAUAGCUUUUUAAGCAAUUUUCU